Molecule: ribosomal RNA, 274 nt
Filed under: uncultured bacterium
Lineage: Bacteria
Description: partial 16S ribosomal RNA
Rfam family: Bacterial small subunit ribosomal RNA
Source: RNAcentral
AUACGUAGGUCCCGAACGUUGCGCGAAAUUACUGGGCGUAAAGGGUCCGUAGGCGGUCUGGUAAGUGGAAGGUGAAAGCCUGGGGCUCAACUCCAGAAUUGCCUUCCAAACUGCCGGACUUGAGGCUGGGAGAGGUCGGCGGAAUUCCCGGUGUAGUGGUGAAAUGCGUAGAUAUCGGGAGGAACACCAGUGGCGAAGGCGGCCGACUGGAACUGUCCUGACGCUGAGGGACGAAAGCCAGGGGAGCGAACCGGAUUAGAUACCCUAGUAGUCC